UUCAUAGAGUGUAAAGGCAUAAGGGAGCUUGACUGCGAGACCUACAAGUCGAGCAGGGUCGAAAGACGGACUUAGUGAUCCGGUGGUUCCGCAUGGAAGGGCCAUCGCUCAACGGAUAAAAGCUACCCCGGGGAUAACAGGCUUAUCUCCCCCAAGAGUUCACAUCGACGGGGAGGUUUGGCACCUCGAUGUCGGCUCAUCGCAUCCUGGGGCUGUAGUCGGUCCCAAGGGUUGGGCUGUUCGCCCAUUAAAGCGGUACGCGAGCUGGGUUCAGAACGUCGUGAGACAGUUCGGUCCCUAUCCGUCGUGGGCGUAGGAAAUUUGAGAGGAGCUGUCCUUAGUACGAGAGGACCGGGAUGGACAUACCUCUGGUGUACCAGUUGUCGUGCCAACGGCAUAGCUGGGUAGCUAUGUGUGGACGGGAUAAGUGCUGAAAGCAUCUAAGCAUGAAGCCCCCCUCAAGAUGAGAUUUCCCAACUUCGGUUAUAAGAUCCCUCAAAGAUGAUGAGGUUAAUAGAUUCGAGGUGGAAGCAUGGUGACAUGUGGAGCUGACGAAUACUAAUCGAUCGAAGACUUAAUCAA
RNAcentral lists this ribosomal RNA (582 nucleotides) under Staphylococcus aureus. RNAcentral describes it as "partial 23S ribosomal RNA". It matches the Rfam family "Bacterial large subunit ribosomal RNA", at positions 2341 to 2925 of the family's 2925-position model. The record is from RNAcentral. Lineage: Bacteria; Bacillati; Bacillota; Bacilli; Caryophanales; Staphylococcaceae.